CCUAAAACAGUAUUGACCAGCUUGCUUCAGUAACUGGUUUCUUUCUGUGCACAUAUGGCAACAGCAGGGCUCUUUUUUGUCAGUAUCCCUACUGUACCUGUGAUCAGUGUCAAAUUCUUCAGAAGUACAAGAUCUGCUUUAAUACUAUUUAAAAUUCCCGUUAGUAGAAAACACACUUCUUCCUGAUAAGAUAUUCAAUGACAUAAAAAAGUGCAUGGCUGGUGGGGACAGAAAACCAUCCAAGAAGGAACAGAGGUAAAAAUGCUAGUAAGAAGCAACCAAAAACAUGGAUUAUAGGAUCUAUAA
Molecule: long non-coding RNA, 306 nt
Filed under: Bos taurus (domestic cattle)
Lineage: Eukaryota; Metazoa; Chordata; Mammalia; Artiodactyla; Bovidae
Description: long non-coding RNA NONBTAT015058
Source: RNAcentral